GCCAGACUCCUACGGGAGGCAGCAGUGGGGAAUAUUGCACAAUGGGGGGAACCCUGAUGCAGCGACGCCGCGUGGGUGAAGGAGCGUUUCGGCGCGUAAAGCCCUAUCGGCAGGGAAGAAGGAGGACGGUACCUGACUAAGAAGCCCCGGCUAACUACGUGCCAGCAGCCGCGGUAAUACGUAGGGGGCAAGCGUUAUCCGGAUUUACUGGGUGUAAAGGGGGCGCAGACGGCGAUGCAAGCCAGGAGUGAAAGCCCGGGGCCCAGCCCCGGGACUGCUCUUGGAACUGCGUGGCUGGAGUGCAGGAGGGGCAGGCGGAAUUCCUGGUGUAGCGGUGAAAUGCGUAGAUAUCAGGAGGAACACCGGUGGCGAAGGCGGCCUGCUGGACUGCAACUGACGUUGAGGCCCGAAAGCGUGGGGAGCAAACAGGAUUAGAUACCCCAGUAA
Molecule: ribosomal RNA, 447 nt
Filed under: uncultured bacterium
Lineage: Bacteria
Description: partial 16S ribosomal RNA
Rfam family: Bacterial small subunit ribosomal RNA
Source: RNAcentral